GAGUUUGAUCAUGGCUCAGGAUGAACGCUAGCGGCAGGCUUAACACAUGCAAGUCGAGGGGUAUAGUUCUUCGGAAUUAGAGACCGGCGCACGGGUGCGUAACGCGUAUGCAAUCUACCUUUCACAGAGGGAUAGCCCAGAGAAAUUUGGAUUAAUACCUCAUAGUAUAACGACUCUGCAUGGAGGUGUUAUUAAAGUAACAACGGUGAAAGAUGAGCAUGCGUCCCAUUAGCUAGUUGGUAAGGUAACGGCUUACCAAGGCUACGAUGGGUAGGGGUCCUGAGAGGGAGAUCCCCCACACUGGUACUGAGACACGGACCAGACUCCUACGGGAGGCAGCAGUGAGGAAUAUUGGACAAUGGGCGCAAGCCUGAUCCAGCCAUGCCGCGUGCAGGAUGAUGGUCCUAUGGAUUGUAAACUGCUUUUGCACAGGAAGAAACAACGCUACGUGUAGCGUCUUGACGGUACUGUGAGAAUAAGGAUCGGCUAACUCCGUGCCAGCGGCCGCGGUAAUACGGAGGAUCCAAGCGUUAUCCGGAAUCAUUGGGUUUAAAGGGUCCGUAGGCGGUUUAGUAAGUCAGUGGUGAAAGCCCAUCGC
RNAcentral lists this ribosomal RNA (598 nucleotides) under uncultured bacterium. RNAcentral describes it as "bacterial SSU rRNA". It matches the Rfam family "Bacterial small subunit ribosomal RNA", at positions 9 to 608 of the family's 1533-position model. The record is from RNAcentral.